AGAUUGAACGCUGGCGGCAUGCCUUACACAUGCAAGUCGAACGGCAGCACGGGAGCAAUCCUGGUGGCGAGUGGCGAACGGGUGAGUAAUAUAUCGGAACGUGCCCAGUCGUGGGGGAUAACGCAGCGAAAGCUGUGCUAAUACCGCAUACGAUCUAUGGAUGAAAGCGGGGGAUCGCAAGACCUCGCGCGAUUGGAGCGGCCGAUAUCAGAUUAGCUAGUUGGUGGGGUAAAAGCCUACCAAGGCGACGAUCUGUAGCUGGUCUGAGAGGACGACCAGCCACACUGGAACUGAGACACGGUCCAGGACUCCUACGGGAGCAGCAGUGGGGAAUUUUGGACAAGUGGGCGCAAGCCUGAUCCAGCAAUGCCGCGUGCAGGAUGAAGGCCGUUCGGUGUAAACGUG
Molecule: ribosomal RNA, 405 nt
Filed under: uncultured soil bacterium
Lineage: Bacteria
Description: bacterial SSU rRNA
Rfam family: Bacterial small subunit ribosomal RNA
Source: RNAcentral